UGAGGAAUAUUGGUCAAUGGGCGAGAGCCUGAACCAGCCAAGUAGCGUGCAGGAUGACGGCCCUAUGGGUUGUAAACUGCUUUUAUGUAGGGAUAAAGUGCGUGACGUGUCAUGCAUUGCAGGUACCACAUGAAUAAGGACCGGCUAAUUCCGUGCCAGCAGCCGCGGUAAUACGGAAGGUCCGGGCGUUAUCCGGAUUUAUUGGGUUUAAAGGGAGCGUAGGCUGUCUAUUAAGCGUGUUGUGAAAUUUACCGGCUCAACCGGUGGCUUGCAGCGCGAACUGGUCGACUUGAGUAUGCAGGAAGUAGGCGGAAUUCAUGGUGUAGCGGUGAAAUGCUUAGAUAUCAUGACGAACUCCGAUUGCGCAGGCAGCUUACUGUAGCAUAACUGACGCUGAUGCUCGAAAGUGCGGGUAUCAAACAGG
RNAcentral lists this ribosomal RNA (424 nucleotides) under Fusobacteriota bacterium. RNAcentral's name for it is "Fusobacteria bacterium partial 16S ribosomal RNA". It matches the Rfam family "Bacterial small subunit ribosomal RNA", at positions 355 to 776 of the family's 1533-position model. Lineage: Bacteria; Fusobacteriati; Fusobacteriota. The record is from RNAcentral.